This 594-nucleotide long non-coding RNA is filed under the name Homo sapiens (human). RNAcentral describes it as "HSALNT0371263". Lineage: Eukaryota; Metazoa; Chordata; Mammalia; Primates; Hominidae. The record is from RNAcentral.
CAUCACCUUCAUGAGCGCAUCAGUGAACACCAGUCUAAGGAAGACAUCUCUGAACGUAAUUUUGGAGAUUUUGAUGAGUUCCAUUGAAACAAGGAGGAAUGUGAUGUCCAGUAUCAGUUCUGCAGACCCAAGGACAAAGAAAAUUCUGUGAUAAACUCAUCCAGUGUGACUGUAAUGUGGGUAUCUAUUUGAUACCUCCAAGUAACUGUUUAUUCUUGUGCCAGUUGAGUAGAUGGUACGGGCCAGUUGGUGUUGAUUAGUGAACCACGGACAAAGGGCAUAUGUCACAUGAGUUGCUCCUGGAUAAAGUCACCCAGUCACUUCCUGAUGAAUAUCCUGCAUAAACUCCAAAGACAAAAGAGAGUUAAGGUUGUUUUUCUCACCUUAGACCAGGCAGUGAUAGAAGAACUGGGGGAAGAGAUAAUUGUAUUUAUCUUGGUGAGGGUGACAAAUCAUGGCAAAUGAGCAAAAUGAAAAAGGAUACAAGACACCGGACUUUCAAAUCAACAAUUGUUUCAAAAGACUCCUACUGGAUUCCUGCUAGUGAUGGGAGAAAAUUAUCAUUCUGUGAGUUGUCAAUAAAUGUUUAACCAC